AGUGAACGCUGGCGGCAGGCCUAACACAUGCAAGUCGAGCGGCAGCACGGCAAUAGCAAUAUUGUGGGUGGCGAGCGGCGGACGGGUGAGGAAUGCAUCGGGAUCUACCCUGUCGUGGGGGACAACGUAGGGAAACUUACGCUAAUACCGCAUGAUCUGGAGACAGCAAAGCCGGGGACCUUCGGGCCUGGUGCGAUGGGAUGAGCCGAUGUCCGAUUAGCUAGUUGGCGGGGUAAAGGCCCACCAAGGCGACGAUCGGUAGCUGGUCUGAGAGGACGACCAGCCACACUGGAACUGAGACACGGUCCAGACUCCUACGGGAGGCAGCAGUGGGGAAUAUUGGACAAUGGGGGCAACCCUGAUCCAGCCAUGCCGCGUGGGUGAAGAAGGCCUCGGUUGUAAGCCUUUGUGCGGAAGAAAGUACGUCGGUGACAUCCGGCGACUGCUGACGGUACCGCAAGAAUAAGCACCGGCUAACUUCGUGCCACG
This 489-nucleotide ribosomal RNA is filed under the name uncultured bacterium. Its description in RNAcentral is "bacterial SSU rRNA". It matches the Rfam family "Bacterial small subunit ribosomal RNA", at positions 30 to 512 of the family's 1533-position model. The record is from RNAcentral.